Molecule: ribosomal RNA, 492 nt
Filed under: uncultured bacterium
Lineage: Bacteria
Description: partial 16S ribosomal RNA
Rfam family: Bacterial small subunit ribosomal RNA
Source: RNAcentral
AGUGAACGCUGGCGGUAGGCCUAACACAUGCAAGUCGAACGGCAGCACAGUAAGAGCUUGCUCGUACGGGUGGCGAGUGGCGGACGGGUGAGGAAUACAUCGGAAUCUACUUUUUCGUGGGGGAUAACGUAGGGAAACUUACGCUAAUACCGCAUACGACCUACGGGUGAAAGCAGGGGAUCUUCGGACCUUGCGCGAUUGAAUGAGCCGAUGUCGGAUUAGCUAGUUGGCGGGGUAAAGGCCCACCAAGGCGACGAUCCGUAGCUGGUCUGAGAGGAUGGUCAGCCACACUGGAACUGAGACACGGUCCAGACUCCUACGGGAGGCAGCAGUGGGGAAUAUUGGACACUGGGCGCAAGCCUGAUCCAGCCAUACCGCGUGGGUGAAGAAGGCCUUCGGGUUGUAAAGCCCUUUUGUUGGGAAAGAAAAGCAGCAGGUUAAUACCCCGCUGUUCUGACGGUACCCAAAGAAUAAGCACCGGCUAACUUCGUG